AGCAGCCGCGGUAAUUCCAGCUCCAAUAGCGUAUAUUAAAGUUGUUGCAGUUAAAAAGCUCGUAGUUGAAUUUCGGAAUCUGUCCAUCGGUCGGGCUUUAUUGUCCGUACUGGUGUGGUGGGUUCUUACCUUCUGAAUAACCAGCAUGCCAUUUAUUUGGUGCGUUGGGGAAGCAGGACUAUUACCUUGAAAAAAUUAGAGUGCUCAAAGCAGGCUAGUGCCUGAAUACAUUAGCAUGGAAUAAUAAAAUAGGACGGCAUGGUUCUAUUUUGUUGGUUUCUAGGAUCACCGUAAUGAUUAAUAGGGAUAGUUGGGGGCAUUAGUAUUCAAUUGUCAGAGGUGAAAUUCUUGGAUUUAUUGAAGACUAACUUCUGCGAAAGCAUUUGCCAAGGAUGUUUUCAUUAAUCAAGAACGAAAGUUAGGGGAUCGAAGACGAUCAGAUACCGUCGUAGUCUUAACCAUAAACUAUGCCGACUAGGGAUCGGACGAUGUUAAUUUUCUAAUGACUCGUUCGGCG
RNAcentral lists this ribosomal RNA (517 nucleotides) under uncultured Acaulospora. Its description in RNAcentral is "SSU rRNA". It matches the Rfam family "Eukaryotic small subunit ribosomal RNA", at positions 569 to 1085 of the family's 1831-position model. The record is from RNAcentral. Lineage: Eukaryota; Fungi; Glomeromycota; Glomeromycetes; Diversisporales; Acaulosporaceae.